RNAcentral lists this long non-coding RNA (511 nucleotides) under Homarus americanus (American lobster). Its description in RNAcentral is "uncharacterized LOC121877869". Lineage: Eukaryota; Metazoa; Arthropoda; Malacostraca; Decapoda; Nephropidae. The record is from RNAcentral.
UGCAGCCCUCGCCAGGCCUGGUCCACAGUACAACCCCCCCACUCCCGAAUACAGCGCCCCUGCUCACCCUAGACCUUCCUACUCUGCUGCUCCCGCUUAUCCUGACACUCCUCCCCAAUACAACUCCCAGUACGCCGUCAGAGACGACUACUCCGGCAACGACUACGGCCAUGAAGAAUCCCGUGACGGCUACAGCACCCAGGGUACCUACUCCGUGCUGCUUCCCGACGGUCGUGUGCAGAGGGUAACUUACUACGUCGACGGGGACUCCGGCUACGUGGCUGAGGUGACAUACGAGGGUGAGGCCCAGUACCCAUCCUACCAGCCUGCCCCAGCACCCUCUUACAGGCCCGCUCCUGCGCCCUCCUACACGCCAGCACCCAGCUAUGCCUAAGUUGAAUUCAAGAUCUACAAUGCAUUGCUUAUUGACCAUUGUAUUUACAAACCAUCGAGAAUGUAGUGAAGAUCAGUAUUUAUUGAACAACCAUUAAUAAACGUUAUACACUAUUAA